CAGCAGAUGAUGAGCAUACUCGGAUUCCCCUUUCACGACAUCACAAUGGAUGAUGCAAAUUCGAGUUUCUGAUGCG
This is a small nucleolar RNA of Panicum virgatum (switchgrass), 76 nucleotides long. RefSeq annotates it as small nucleolar RNA snoR60. Lineage: Eukaryota; Viridiplantae; Streptophyta; Magnoliopsida; Poales; Poaceae. The transcript has a single exon. The record is from RefSeq and is a predicted model, not a curated record.